UGGACUUGGAUGUGAACUCCAGGAGCUGCUUGUGGUGACAGUGGUUCUUCAGUUUCCUGGUUUCAUCUCUUUACAAGGACCAUCUUUGGGCAUUGUGUUCUUCUCCAGUGUUUAUCUCUGUCUUUUAUUAGGGAUGGUGGGCGGUGGAUGUUCUAUUGAUCCUUGAAGGAGAGAUGCUUGUUCACAGGGGGGUCAGAGGUGAGGGUCAGCACUAGAGAGAUCAGUGGUCAGUGAAGGACGCUGCAGAAGAGGCUGCUCGCUGCCUCAGUGACGGUCCAAGUCAAUUAAACUGAUGCUGCACAUUUGAUUGUGUCUGUGAAGGCAUGUGGAAAAACUGACUUCCCUCCCUGUCUUUAUUUUUACCACUUAUGCACUUACAGCCCUGAGACUUACUGUGCUGGCCUUCACAUGCUAAUGUCUGCGUUCUCGGCUUAGUUCCUCCUCAGCCAUGCACAUGUGAAAACCAGUAUUUCAACACGACGGAAUUUCCAGUGGCUGCAAGUGACAGCUCUUUUUAUUUGACAAGCAUUGCAAUGAUAUGGCUCUGAGAUUACACUUGGGUGUUGGUUGUCUGUAGCCUUAUGCUCAGAGAAGACUGAAAACACAGACACCGCUGCUGUGAAAGGUUGUGUGAAGGUGAUGAUUCAUUCAUGAGGGAUCCUGAGCACUUUGUUAUGAGUUUCACUUGCUCACGCUGACAUGCACCACACAAAACUUUUUGUCUAUAAGCAAACCAUGCAACACAAUCGGAUGGCCCUGCCUGUAUGACUCAAAGAAUUGUGCUGAUUGAUUUCAGAAUUAUUUUUCCCCUUGAGCACAAACACCUUCAGAUUUUCACCUGAUGUGAUUAUCUAUUUCAUCUAAUUUCUUUAAGACCCAAAGGAGGUAAUAUUGUGUGUCAUGUUGUUGUGAGUUGGUCUAUAUUUACAUGUAAAAUUAUCACUGUCUGUUUGUAUGGGAAACACAUAUUGAAAGACAGGUUGAAAGAAAGAAAGCUGUAACCAGAAUACAGUAUAUGCAGGUCAAAUAAACAGCAAUUCCAAACAGAGAUGUAUUGUCUGUAAAUCUAGUGACAAAGAUGCUAAUUAAGAUGCUUAUGAUAAUCACUCCCCAGAUGACGUAA
Pleuronectes platessa (European plaice) is the source of this 1123-nucleotide long non-coding RNA. RefSeq lists it as uncharacterized. The record is from RefSeq and is a predicted model, not a curated record. The transcript is spliced from 3 exons. Lineage: Eukaryota; Metazoa; Chordata; Actinopteri; Pleuronectiformes; Pleuronectidae.